AGCGAACGCUGGCGGCAGGCCUAACACAUGCAAGUCGAACGAACCUUUCGGGGUUAGUGGCGGACGGGUGAGUAACACGUGGGAACGUGCCUUUAGGUUCGGAAUAACUCAGGGAAACUUGUGCUAAUACCGAAUGUGCCCUUCGGGGGAAAGAUUUAUCGCCUUUAGAGCGGCCCGCGUCUGAUUAGCUAGUUGGUUGAGGUAAUGGCUCACCAAGGCGACGAUCAGUAGCUGGUCUGAGAGGAUGAUCAGCCACAUUGGGACUGAGACACGGCCCAAACUCCUACGGGAGGCAGCAGUGGGGAAUCUUGCGCAAUGGGCGAAAGCCUGACGCGGCCAUGCCGCGUGAAUGAUGAAGGUCUUAGGAUUGUAAAAUUCUUUCACCGGGGACGAUAAUGACGGUACCCGGAGAAGAAGCCCCGGCUAACUUCGUG
This 434-nucleotide ribosomal RNA is filed under the name uncultured bacterium. RNAcentral describes it as "partial 16S ribosomal RNA". It matches the Rfam family "Bacterial small subunit ribosomal RNA", at positions 29 to 507 of the family's 1533-position model. The record is from RNAcentral.